RNAcentral lists this long non-coding RNA (328 nucleotides) under Setaria italica (foxtail millet). RNAcentral describes it as "long non-coding RNA (SITA_LNC005532)". Lineage: Eukaryota; Viridiplantae; Streptophyta; Magnoliopsida; Poales; Poaceae. The record is from RNAcentral.
CGCUGGUGGCGGCGGAGACGGCGUCGGCGGCCGUGAGCUGCAGCGAGGUGACGUCGGCGGUGUUGCCGUGCCUGGGUUACGCGACGGGCAGCGCGGCGUCCCCGUCGUCGGCGUGCUGCAACGGGGUCAGGUCCCUCAGCGCCAGGGCCUCCUCCACCGCCGACCGCCAGGCGGCCUGCACCUGCCUCAAGAGCAUGACCGGGGGGCUCGGCGGAGGCGGCGCCAGCAUGGGCAACGCCGCCAACAUCCCAAGCAAGUGCGGCGUCAACGUCGGCGUACCCAUCAGCCCCAACGUCGACUGCUCCAAGUAACUACUACUGCUUAAUUA